This 535-nucleotide long non-coding RNA is filed under the name Homo sapiens (human). Its description in RNAcentral is "HSALNT0330500". Lineage: Eukaryota; Metazoa; Chordata; Mammalia; Primates; Hominidae. The record is from RNAcentral.
GCAGUCCUUUAGCAUCCUCGCCGCGCCCUGAGCGCGCUGGAGGCUCGCAGGCUGCGCCCUCCCAGGGCUGAUGCCGCGUCCUGCUCCGCCGUUCUGGGACGUCGGGGACAAAAGUGGAGGAGACGGGAGAGCCCGGGCAGAAAAAGCAGGACGCGCGUCCCAGGUGCCCACCUCUUCGCUUUGAGGCGGGGGCGGUGGGAUGGAAUAUGGGUGCGCGAGGUCGGGGCUGGUAACUCUCGGAGGGGCACGGCCUCCACGCUGGGAGGGAUGAAUGGACGCUGGGCCCCGGCAAAUGAGGCGCUGUGGGUCCCCAGGAAGUGGGGUACCAGGCUCUACUCCCACCCCGGCCUCUGAAACGCUUCUCUCUCGGCCGCUAGCCUAGAGGCUGCCAGGGUUGGGCACUGUUCUCACUCACACGCUCACCUCUCUCGGGCAGUCCUCGAGAUAUGUGAAUGGUGGAAUGAAUGCUCUCACUGGGGCUGUGUCAGGAUGCGUUUUUAAAUUUUCUCAAAUUAAAUGCCAACCCCUCAUUCCC